UGAUGCGAUCAUACCAGCACUAAAGUACCGGAUCCCAUUAGAACUCCGAAGUUAAGCGUGCUUGGGCGAGAGUAGUACUAGGAUGGGUGACCUCUUGGGAAGUCCUCGUGUUGCAUUCC
RNAcentral lists this ribosomal RNA (119 nucleotides) under Triticum dicoccoides. The record is from RNAcentral. Lineage: Eukaryota; Viridiplantae; Streptophyta; Magnoliopsida; Poales; Poaceae.